This 428-nucleotide ribosomal RNA is filed under the name uncultured bacterium. RNAcentral's name for it is "bacterial SSU rRNA". It matches the Rfam family "Bacterial small subunit ribosomal RNA", at positions 355 to 776 of the family's 1533-position model. The record is from RNAcentral.
UGGGGAAUCUUGCGCAAUGGACGAAAGUCUGACGCAGCGACGCCGCGUGAGCGAUGAAGGCCUUCGGGUUGUAAAGCUCUGUGGGGGGAGACGAAUAAGGUGCAGCUAAUACCUGCAUCGAUGACGGUAUCCCCUUAGCAAGCACCGGCUAACUCUGUGCCAGCAGCCGCGGUAAGACAGAGGGUGCAAACGUUGUUCGGAAUUACUGGGCGUAAAGCGCGUGUAGGCGGCUGUGUAAGUCGGGCGUGAAAUCCCAUGGCUCAACCAUGGAAGUGCACCCGAAACUGCGUAGCUAGAGUCCUGGAGAGGAAGGUGGAAUACUUGGUGUAGAGGUGAAAUUCGUAGAUAUCAAGUGGAACACCGGUGGCGAAGGCGGCCUUCUGGACAGUGACUGACGCUGAGACGCGAAAGCGUGGGGAGCAAACAGG